GAUUUCUGGUUUAAUGCACCUGUAUCGGCUUGUGAGUGCCGGCGCGCGUUUACCAUCCUUCUAGAAAACGAUUCUGCCAUUCACUUGGUUGGGACCGCGAUCUAGAUCUUUUACUUUGAAAAAAUUAGAGUGUUUAAAGCAGGCUUUUGCUAUGAAUACAUUAGCAUGGAAUAAUAAUCUAGGACUUCGGUUCUAUUUUGUUGGUUUCUUUCACUGAAGUAAUGAUUGAUAGGGAUAGUUGGGGGUGCUAGUAUUGGCCGGCCAGAGGUGAAAUUCUUGGAUUCGGUCAAGACUAACUUAUGCGAAAGCAUU
Molecule: ribosomal RNA, 312 nt
Filed under: uncultured Sandonidae
Lineage: Eukaryota; Cercozoa; Glissomonadida; Viridiraptoridae
Description: SSU rRNA
Rfam family: Eukaryotic small subunit ribosomal RNA (bases 95-312)
Source: RNAcentral